This 927-nucleotide ribosomal RNA is filed under the name Salmonella enterica. Its description in RNAcentral is "partial 23S ribosomal RNA". It matches the Rfam family "Bacterial large subunit ribosomal RNA", at positions 1252 to 2162 of the family's 2925-position model. The record is from RNAcentral. RNAcentral also lists the same sequence under 4 other names. Lineage: Bacteria; Pseudomonadati; Pseudomonadota; Gammaproteobacteria; Enterobacterales; Enterobacteriaceae.
GAAGGUGGCCUGUGAGGGUUGCUGGAGGUAUCAGAAGUGCGAAUGCUGACAUAAGUAACGAUAAAGCGGGUGAAAAGCCCGCUCGCCGGAAGACCAAGGGUUCCUGUCCAACGUUAAUCGGGGCAGGGUGAGUCGACCCCUAAGGCGAGGCCGAAAGGCGUAGUCGAUGGGAAACGGGUUAAUAUUCCCGUACUUGGUGUUACUGCGAAGGGGGGACGGAGAAGGCUAUGUUGGCCGGGCGACGGUUGUCCCGGUUUAAGCGUGUAGGUGUGUGUUCCAGGUAAAUCCGGUUCACUUUAACACUGAGGCGUGACGACGAGGCACUACGGUGCUGAAGCAACAAAUGCCCUGCUUCCAGGAAAAGCCUCUAAGCAUCAGGUAACAUCAAAUCGUACCCCAAACCGACACAGGUGGUCAGGUAGAGAAUACCAAGGCGCUUGAGAGAACUCGGGUGAAGGAACUAGGCAAAAUGGUGCCGUAACUUCGGGAGAAGGCACGCUGACACGUAGGUGAAGUGAUUUACUCAUGGAGCUGAAGUCAGUCGAAGAUACCAGCUGGCUGCAACUGUUUAUUAAAAACACAGCACUGUGCAAACACGAAAGUGGACGUAUACGGUGUGACGCCUGCCCGGUGCCGGAAGGUUAAUUGAUGGGGUCAGCGCAAGCGAAGCUCCUGAUCGAAGCCCCGGUAAACGGCGGCCGUAACUAUAACGGUCCUAAGGUAGCGAAAUUCCUUGUCGGGUAAGUUCCGACCUGCACGAAUGGCGUAAUGAUGGCCAGGCUGUCUCCACCCGAGACUCAGUGAAAUUGAACUCGCUGUGAAGAUGCAGUGUACCCGCGGCAAGACGGAAAGACCCCGUGAACCUUUACUAUAGCUUGACACUGAACAUUGAGCCUUGAUGUGUAGGAUAGGUGGGAGGCUUUGAAG